RNAcentral lists this ribosomal RNA (696 nucleotides) under Triticum aestivum (bread wheat). RNAcentral's name for it is "partial small subunit ribosomal RNA". Lineage: Eukaryota; Viridiplantae; Streptophyta; Magnoliopsida; Poales; Poaceae. The record is from RNAcentral.
AUGCCUGAACUCAUUGUAUCUGACAGGGAUCCUGUUUUUACCAGCAACUUCUGGCAGACUCUUAUUAACAGAACUGACACUCAUUUGAAUAUGAGCUCGGCUUAUCAUCCGGCUACUGAUGGACAAACUGAGCGAGUUAACCAGCAGGUGGAGUGCUAUUUGCGGAGUUUCAUCAGUUCUCACCCUACUAAAUGGAGCAAAUGGCUGUCGCUCUGUGAGUUUUGGUACAAUACCAAUUGGCAUUCUGCUGUGGGGAAAUCACCAUUUGAAGUUUUGUAUGGACAACCUCCCAGGUAUUUUGGUAUUUCUCCAUCAGACACAAUUCCUCCUUUGGACAUUCAACAAUGGUUGCAAGAUCGACAGGUUGUAGUUGAGUCUGUCAGACAACACUUGCUACGAGCUCAACAGAGAAUGAAGCAAUUGGCAGAUAAACACAAAACUGAGAGAACUUUUGAUGUGGGCGAGCUGGUUUUCCUUAAGUUGCAGCCUUAUGUCCAGUCUUCAGUGGUGCACCGAGCAAAUCAUAAGUUAGCUUACAAAUACUAUGGUCCUUACAAGAUAGUGGGCAGAAUUGGAGAAGUGGCUUACAAGCUAGAACUUCCGGAGGGCAGCAGGAUACACCCAGUUUUUCAUAUCUCACAGCUGAAGAAAGUGGUUGCACCGACCUGUCCUAUAUCCAGCACAUUACCCUCUGUU